AAUCAACGCUGGCGGCGUGCCUAACACAUGCAAGUCGAACGCGGUGUUCCCGCAAGGGAGCACUGAGUGGCGAACGGGUGAGUAACACGUGGGUGACCUACCUUCGAGUGGGGGAUAACGUUCCGAAAGGAACGCUAAUACCGCAUAACAUCCUGCCUUUGAACAGGCGGAGAUCAAAGCCGGGGAUCGCAAGACCUGGCGCUGGAUGAGGGGCCCGCGUCCGAUUAGCUAGUUGGGAGGUAACGGCCCACCAAGGCGACGAUCGGUAACCGGCCUGAGAGGGCGGACGGUCACACUGGGACUGAGACACGGCCCAGACUCCUACGGGAGGCAGCAGUGGGGAAUAUUGGACAAUGGGCGCAAGCCUGAUCCAGCCAUGCCGCGUGAGUGAUGAAGGCCUUAGGGUUGUAAAGCUC
Molecule: ribosomal RNA, 416 nt
Filed under: uncultured bacterium
Lineage: Bacteria
Description: bacterial SSU rRNA
Rfam family: Bacterial small subunit ribosomal RNA
Source: RNAcentral